UCCCUGGUGGCUCAGAUGUUAAAGAAUCUGCCUGCAAUGCAGGAGACCCAGGUUCAAUCCCUGGGUAGGGAA
Transfer RNA from Ovis aries (sheep), 72 nucleotides. It matches the Rfam family "tRNA". Rfam says of the family: Transfer RNA (tRNA) molecules are approximately 80 nucleotides in length. Their secondary structure includes four short double-helical elements and three loops (D, anti-codon, and T loops). The record is from Rfam. Lineage: Eukaryota; Metazoa; Chordata; Mammalia; Artiodactyla; Bovidae.